This 77-nucleotide transfer RNA is filed under the name Ignavibacteria bacterium RBG_16_36_9. RNAcentral describes it as "tRNA-Glu". It matches the Rfam family "tRNA". From Rfam's summary of the family: Transfer RNA (tRNA) molecules are approximately 80 nucleotides in length. Their secondary structure includes four short double-helical elements and three loops (D, anti-codon, and T loops). Further hydrogen bonds mediate the characteristic L-shaped molecular structure. tRNAs have two regions of fundamental functional importance: the anti-codon, which is responsible for specific mRNA codon recognition, and the 3' end, to which the tRNAs corresponding amino acid is attached (by aminoacyl-tRNA synthetases). tRNAs cope with the degeneracy of the genetic code in two manners: having more than one tRNA (with a specific anti-codon) for a particular amino acid; and 'wobble' base-pairing, i.e. permitting non-standard base-pairing at the 3rd anti-codon position. Lineage: Bacteria; Pseudomonadati; Ignavibacteriota; Ignavibacteria. The record is from RNAcentral. RNAcentral also lists the same sequence under 1 other name.
GGCGCGUUCGUCUAGUGGCUUAGGACGCCGCCCUCUCAAGGCGGAGAUCGCGGGUUCGAAUCCCGCACGCGCUACUA